ACAUCCAGAGAACUUAGCAGAGAUGCUUUGGUGCCUUCGGGAACUCUGAGACAGGUGCUGCAUGGCUGUCGUCAGCUCGUGUUGUGAAAUGUUGGGUUAAGUCCCGNAACGAGCGCAACCCUUAUCCUUUGUUGCCAGCGAUUCGGUCGGGAACUCAAAGGAGACUGCCGGUGAUAAACCGGAGGAAGGUGGGGAUGACGUCAAGUCAUCAUGGCCCUUACGGCCAGGGCUACACACGUGCUACAAUGGCGCAUACAAAGAGAAGCGACCUCGCGAGAGCAAGCGGACCUCAUAAAGUGCGUCGUAGUCCGGAUUGGAGUCUGCAACUCGACUCCAUGAAGUCGGAAUCGCUAGUAAUCGUAGAUCAGAAUGCUACGGUGAAUACGUUCCCGGGCCUUGUACACACCGCCCGCCACACCAUGGGAGUGGGUUGCAAAAGAAGUAGGUAGCUUAACCUUCGGGAGGGCGCUUACCACUUUGUGAUUCAUGACUGGGGUGAAGUCGUAACAAGGUAAGCGUACGUGU
Molecule: ribosomal RNA, 525 nt
Filed under: uncultured bacterium
Lineage: Bacteria
Description: bacterial SSU rRNA
Rfam family: Bacterial small subunit ribosomal RNA
Source: RNAcentral